UCCCCUCCUGUUCCCUGAUUAAGAGGUGAUGACCACUCCACUCCACUACCAUUGUCAACUCUCUCAUGAGUUGAACUGAAGCAAUAUCUCAUGUGCCCGCUCAUUCACUGGCACAUGAAAUGUUUCCUCUCCAAGCACUUCAAAUCCUAUCCUGCACUGGUCAAGCCUCUGAACACCUCAACUCAUGCCUCACACCCUCAUUCAAUCACUGCUGUGAUCUCUUUCCGACACUGUGUGGCAAUAAUCAUUCCCCAAUCAGUCACCAACCAGUCAUCAAUCAGAAGACACACCUCUUCCUGUUCUCAAUACCCUAUCACAACCUCUCUCCUUUGGUUUUAAAACCCUGUCAGUUGAUUUCUCUGGCGCUUAAUCUCUGUCAAUGCCAUCUGUCUGUAGAUAUCUUGUUUGGUUUUUGCAACUACAUGUCACUUUGUCCCUACCUGUGAGUAUUGGUUUUGUUAUGGCGUUUGUUUGACGGUGGGAAAAGGGGGUACCAAGAUAAAUCGCCCAUGGGCAUACAUUACCCGUAGGAAUACUUUGUAUAAAAACACUAGUUAGAACUGGGCGAACCACCCGCUGUAUUUUUGGUUAGUUAGCUGUUGGUGAAAUAGGCUAGUCUAGUUUAGGGGUGUUUUUGGAUAAUUAUUAUUUAUUUCCUUGGGUCCAGCUCAGCCCCUUUAUCCUGCCCCCCCCCAUUACCGUGUGUUUUCAAAUAAACCAUGAGUGUUUGACGGUAAUUUAGUUGUUUGUGGCUAUUUCGUUCACUCUUUUUCACUACUAUAAUUUGCAUGAGUUAUGUUACGGGUCUCGUUACCAUCCCCCCUAGACUGUCGGGCCAAAGGGAUUCGUAACACGCACGCAAAGUGGUUUGGAACUUUGACUAUCUAGCCGAGGAAGAGGCGAGAAGCUCACAUCAGACCAUCACUGUUACAGCUGAUUAGCUGUCUGAAGUCAGAUAGAGAAAAUCUAAUCUAAGUGAGACUAUCCAACUACGCUCAUCACCAAUGGGAACCAUCAACAUGGCUGGUUAUCUUUCAGAGUGAAAAACAGUAGAAGAGCGUAGUAGGAUAGAGGGAGACCCCUUUCGGACAAUGAGUCAUACAGCUGGAAGGCCAUCAACUUUCCGAGAAGUCUUGGUUGUGGAACUUAGAUGUACUGUACGCAAAGCUGGCAUCAAGGCAAAGGGUGGCUACGUUGAAGAAUGUAACAUAUAGAUUAUAUUUUGAUUUGUUUAACAUUUUUUUUGGUUACUACAUUAUUCCACAUGUUAUUUAAUAGUUUUGACGUCUUCAGUAUUAUUCCACAAUGUAGAAAAGUUUUUAAAAAUCAAUAAAUGAAAUUAGUAGGUGUCCAAACUGUUUUGUUUGUCAGAAUCCUUGCGGCACUGUUUUGGAUGAGCUGUAGUUUAUGAAUUGAAUUUGCAGGCAGGACCCCCAUGUAAUGCUUUCCCAUAUUCAAUUCAGGAGAAAAUGAAUGCAUGGAUUAGCUCAGAUGAAUGUUUUACAGACCGGACUAAUGUGGCAAUUGAAGGAGAGAGCAGAAUUGAAUUUCACACUCAAAAUAGUGAUGACUGAGGAGAGGUGAAUGAUGUGGUUAUUUAUGACAGGGUGGAUGCUGAUGGAGUUGGCGAUCUGCUGGGGGUUGCCUAUUAGCAUUGCCUCUGUUUUGCUGCUGUUGAAUUGGAGGAAGUUGUUCUGGAUCCAAUAUUUUGCCUCUUCCAGACAGUUGGACAAUGUUGACAGAGCAGAUGUUGUGUCAGGCUUUGUUUUAAUGUACACGUGUGUGUCGGGGGCAGAGAGGACAGGCUGUGCUCACUCUGCUCCAGGGGAGAGGUAGAGACAGAGCUGCAUUUCCUAUUACACUGUGACAAAUACCCAGACCUAAGAGAAUAUUUCUUUCCCAAAAUUAUAAUUCAAUACAAAGAAUUUGAAACUAUAAAAGAUGAAGAAAAAAUCAAAUAUUUAUUGGGUGAAAAGCCAAAAUGUGCAGUUUUGGCAGCCAAAUAUGUGUCCUCCUGCCACAACCUGAGGGACAGCCAGUGAAAAGUGCAAAGUAAUGUUGAUAAUAUUUCCCGUUUUGUCUUUCAUACCAGGUCAUGUGUCUUCUCAGUCAUGUUGAGACUGGCUUACUACUGUUGCUUUAAUGUAUUGUUGUUCUGAUUAAUAUUGUUGUUGUAGUUGUUGUUAAUGGUAAUCCCAUGUCCACUACUACUAUUAUUAUUGCUGUUGG
Long non-coding RNA from Salvelinus fontinalis (brook trout), 2229 nucleotides. RefSeq lists it as uncharacterized. Lineage: Eukaryota; Metazoa; Chordata; Actinopteri; Salmoniformes; Salmonidae. The transcript has 3 exons. The record is from RefSeq and is a predicted model, not a curated record.